This 460-nucleotide ribosomal RNA is filed under the name uncultured bacterium. RNAcentral describes it as "partial 16S ribosomal RNA". It matches the Rfam family "Bacterial small subunit ribosomal RNA", at positions 338 to 795 of the family's 1533-position model. The record is from RNAcentral.
CCUACGGGAGGCAGCAGUGAGGAAUAUUGGUCAAUGGCCGGAAGGCUGAACCAGCCAUGCCGCGUGAAGGUCAGUGCCCUAUGGGCGUUAAACUUCUUUUGUGCGGGAGCAAUAAUGGUCACGUGUGGCCAGACGAGAGUACCGUACGAAUAAGCAUCGGCUAACUCCGUGCCAGCAGCCGCGGUAAUACGGGGGAUGCAAGCGUUAUCCGGAGUUAUUGGGGUUAAAGGGUGCGUAGGCUGGGAGGUAAGUCAGCGGUGAAAUGCCCCGGCUCAACGGGGUGAAGUGCCAUUGAUACUGCCUUGCUGGAAUGCGGAUGCCGUGGGAGGAAUGUGUGGUGUAGCGGUGAAAUGAAUAGAUAUCACACAGAACACCGAUUGCGAAGGCAUCUCACGAAUCCGCGAUUGACGCUGAUGCACGAAAGCGUGGGUAUCAAACAGGAUUAGAUACCCGGGUAGUC